Equus caballus (horse) is the source of this 2938-nucleotide RNA transcript. It is a transcript of the gene named solute carrier family 17 member 5, with no coding region annotated. The record is from RefSeq and is a predicted model, not a curated record. NCBI's taxonomy places the organism in Eukaryota, Metazoa, Chordata, Mammalia, Perissodactyla, Equidae.
GGGGGCGGCGCCAGCUCCGCCGGCAGCCUUGGGCUGUCCGGGAGGACCUCUCCUUUCCGCCAGACACGUCGCGCACCUGCUCUUCUGCAGCAUGAUGAGGUCCCCGGGUCGGGACCCGGCCCCCAGCGAUGGCGAGGAGGCUUCGGACAGCACGCCGCUCCUGCAGGGCGCCUGGCCGGCGGAAGGCGCUCCGGUGUGCUGCUCUGCUCGUUACAACUUAGCAGUUUUGGCCUUUUUUGGGUUCUUUGUUCUCUACGCGUUGCGUGUGAAUCUGAGUGUUGCGCUGGUGGAUAUGGUCGAUUCAAAUACGACUUCAGCAGAUAACGUAACUUCCAAGGAGUGUGCAGAGCAUUCUGCUCCCGUGAAAAUCCUUCGUAGUCAAACGGGUAAAAGGUACCAGUGGGAUGCAGAGACCCAGGGGUGGAUUCUCGGCUCCUUCUUUUACGGCUACAUCGUCACGCAGGUUCCCGGGGGCUACAUUGCUCGCAAAGUCGGGGGGAAGCGGCUGCUGGGGUUUGGGAUCCUUGGCACUGCUGUCUUCACCCUGUUCACGCCCAUUGCCGCAGAUUUUGGAGUUGGAGCUCUCGUUGUGCUCAGAGCACUAGAAGGACUUGGAGAGGGUGUCACUUUUCCAGCCAUGCAUGCCAUGUGGUCUUCUUGGGCUCCCCCGCUUGAGAGAAGCAAGCUUCUUAGCAUUUCAUAUGCAGGAGCACAGCUUGGAACAGUAGUUUCUCUUCCUCUUUCUGGAAUAAUUUGCUUGUAUAUGAAUUGGACUUAUGUCUUCUACCUUUUUGGUAUAGUUGGAAUCAUUUGGUUUAUUUUAUGGAUCUCACUAGUCAGUGAUACACCAGAAACUCACAUGAGAAUCUCCCAGUAUGAAAAGGAAUACAUUCUUUCAUCAUUAAGAAAUCAGCUUUCUUCACAGAAGUCAGUGCCAUGGGUGCCCAUGCUAAAAUCACUGCCACUUUGGGCUAUUGUAGUGGCACAUUUUUCUUACAACUGGACUUUCUAUACUUUGUUGACGUUAUUGCCUACUUAUAUGAAGGAGAUCCUAAGGUUCAACAUUCAAGAGAAUGGGUUUUUAUCGGCACUGCCUUAUUUGGGCUGUUGGUUAUGUAUGAUCCUGUCUGGUCAAGCUGCUGACAAUUUAAGGGCAAAAUGGAAUGUUUCAACUGUGUGUGUUCGAAGAGUUUUUACCCUUAUAGGAAUGAUUGGACCUGCGGUGUUCCUGGUAGCCGCGGGAUUUAUUGGUUGUGACUAUUCUUUGGCUGUUGCAUUCCUGACCAUAUCAACAGCGCUGGGGGGCUUUUGCUCUUCUGGAUUCAGCAUCAACCAUCUGGACAUUGCACCCUCCUGGAAUGGGAACUCUGAAGGCAGAGACUGUCUUCCCCUCCUCAGGGCUCACCAUGACUCGUGGCACAUAGUGGGCAUUUAGUGGAUGGAUGAAUGUCCAAGACCAGACCCAGGUACGCCGGCAUCCUCCUGGGCAUCACCAACACCUUCGCCACCAUUCCAGGGAUGGCUGGGCCUGUCAUCGCUAAGAGUCUGACACCUGGCAACACUAUUGCAGAAUGGCAAACUGUUUUCUGUAUCGCUGCUGCUAUCAAUGUAUUUGGUGCCAUUUUCUUCACACUGUUCGCCAAAGGUGAAGUACAGAACUGGGCUCUCAGCGAUUACCAUGGACACAGAAACUGAAGGAACCAAUAAACAGUCCUCUCUAUUGAUGUAUUUUUGUUUAUCAUGUAACCUAAAAGUGCCUUCAAUAUUUUAAUGUGUGAGCAUUCUGUGUACAAGAAAAAAUUGUACUUGUAUUAAAUUUUUAAGGCUUGUAAUCAUGAAAUGUCACUAGUUACCAGAUUAGUAAAAAUGGCUAUUUUUAAUUAUUAAUGACAUGUAUGCUGGGACUUACACUUUAGGGUCACAUACCUGGCUGCAAGUCAGGCAAUAUGAAGUAGGGGAGUUCUGUUUAUUUUUAAGGGCCAUACUUAAAGGAAUGAGCUGAAAUAGAUCUCUCUCUGUACCUUUGCUUAAUUAAAGUAGAUAAUAAUUCUCAGGUCUCGGUAAACACCUGUUUUUGUUCACUUUCCUCAUAAAAAUUAUUUGUCAGCAGCAAUCCCUGACACUCAGGUCUCAAACUUUAGCAUCUCCACGGAGCUGCUGGCCACUGCGUAAUGUGGCCUGGCAACUGCACUGAGGGCAGCGUGCCCGGGCAGCUGCCAGGCAUUCCGGCCCUGGCCUCGGGGACAGCGCCAGUGUUGAUCAGAGGCCGCAUCCGAGAGCAAGGUCAGCACCCGGACUUUGGACGGUGUUCUUCCCCUGGGGCCGUUCACGUGUGCUAAAGCAGGGCGGGCAGGAGCAGCGGGCUCCACGCCGUGAGGGCUGCCCCAUCCGGCUCCCUGGAACAGAGAUUGGCAGGUAGCCUGCAAAAAAAGAGUGUGAUGCCCACUUAGCCACAAAUAACAUCCUCCUUGAUUAAAACUACCUUCACAUGGAUCAGAGUGUAAAUUUCCAAGUCCUGUGUUCUGUGAGCUACACCAGACUAAGUAAAUUGAAGAAGAACUCUUAGGUGUUUUUCCGCCUGCGUCUGAGCUCCUGGUUGCAGUUCAAGGUUCAAGUGGCUGUUAGUCGGCCACGUCACCUGCACCCAGUGAUGUGAUCUCUUUACCGCUGGUUCCCGAAAUCAUAUUUUUCCAGGUUUUUCCUGGAGCAUCUUAAGUGGUUUUCAAGCACACUUUGAAGGCAUUUAUGUGAUUUAGAACUUGGUUUAUGUUUUGUUGUGUUUGUUCAACACUACCUGUACCAUUUUAACUAAAACUAUUUAAUGUAAUAUGACAUGAAUACGUUUCUGUAAAAUUAUUUUUUAAUUUGUAAAUAGCUUUAAGUUGGUAUGAUGAUAUUUCUUUUACAAAUCAUCAAAAUAAACCUUUCUGGAUGGAUA